UGCUUUUUAACUGUUCCAUCUAUAGUGACUGAUUUAUUGAGCUACAAUCAGAAGUGUAAUUAUCCUCUUUAUUGUAGCAGUUAUCGCUUCUCUGGAAACAAGUGGCAGACAUAUUGGAUCAGCACUGACGUUUAAGCCAUUAUGGUGGUGGCAGUUCUGAAACUCUUUGGGAACCAGGGAUCGCAGUAAAACAUGAGGAACCGGAUCAGGACAUUUGGACAGAACUGUUUAUUGUAAAGUUCUACAGCAUCCUCGUGUUCUGCAAGGAACGAAAACAUUUCCUCAGUCUUCUCUCCUGAAGCUGUUUCUUGUGGACUCGCUGUGUUCAAUCAUUAACAGCAGCUCAUUGGUUCAUUGAUCAGUAAUGAGAGUUGAGGGAGCAGCUUGUUAUAAA
Molecule: long non-coding RNA, 394 nt
Organism: Girardinichthys multiradiatus
Lineage: Eukaryota; Metazoa; Chordata; Actinopteri; Cyprinodontiformes; Goodeidae
Exons: 2
Source: RefSeq, a predicted model, not a curated record